CUUUCCGCGAAAAACCAAUGCCAGCAUGGCCAUAAAACACUACAUACAAAUCGAAAUCUAAAAAGCGCGGAACUUUCAUAUAUUUUCCGUCGGAGCAAUUAUUUUUCAACCCUGUAGAAAAAGCGGGCUCAAUUAAUCGCGCGGAACGUUAUUUAUCUACUCUGUACAAAUAGUAGUGUUUAAAAUCGCGCGGAGAUUGUAGAAUGCUAUUUUAAGAAGUCUAUUAAAGAGAGAAAAUCCAGUAAAUACCAGAUCCAAAAAGCGCGGAACACAAAUAUCGUCCGCGAAAAUUAAGCAUUGAAUUACUGUACAAAUCUCGGGUUGUUAGGUGUUAGAAUCCCUAGUUACCCGAAAAAUUUGAUUGGAUCCGAUACUUAGAAAUAACCAAUCAGAUACUUUGUAACAAAUGCAACACAAUCAGUGCGUUCAGUAAGUAUAACGUUUCAAGAUGGCGGAGCGAAUUGCAUGGUUAUUGUUUCUACUCGAUGGAUUCGCAGAUAAUUCGGAAAUAGAUCAGAUUGGGAUCAAUAACUGUAUUGCAUACGAUCAUUUACAUGUAUUACCAGGUGUGUGUUGCCAGUAAUGGUUGAAGAUAUGCCAAACAAAUUGUGCCUCUCUAUACAGACAGAUUUCAGGUCUCAAUUUCGACUUCAAAGGUCAACAUAUCACUGAUAUCAGGGACUCAACAUUACACAGUCAUUUCAACAUGUUGAGUCUUGUCAGCAAUGAUGGAGCAGUACUUCAGAUUUCCAGAAUCUCGUCAUGAGCUGAAGAUCAUUGCCUAUGGAUUUCAUGAAUGAUGUAGAAUGAUUGGACUGUUGAUGGAACCCACAGUGCAUGUCCUGCUUCAACAUCUGAGCAUAGGUCCUUGUUUAUCAGCAGUUUAGUUCUUCAAGCAGUCUGUGACAGUAACUUGAAAUGUUUGGACAUAUGACCUGGAUGGCAAAGUUCUGUGCAUGAUGCCCAUUUAAAUAGGAACGGCCCAGUGGCGCAUUAAAUGGACAUUUUUCGAAUGUUCUCGAGGAUUCAGCUUACCGCCUGACAAGAAAUCUUGCUUUUUGUUCAGUAUCGAGGCCAUGGACAUUUGUAUCAUUUGCAAAAGAUACUGCGAUAUUUGUGCCUUUGUUCAUGCUUUAUAGUUGAUUAACAAUUGGAAGCCAUAACCUGUUUUAUAGGAUGGUGUUAGUGGGACAAUGAAUUUUGUAAAGAUUUAAAGACUGGAAAAGAUAAUUAAAAGUCAAAAGAGUUCUGCUAUUGUUAAGCAUGCUUUAUUGAUUUGUAAUGUUAGAAAGAUAGCAUUAUUAACAGAAUAAAAUGUCCAUAAUUUGAA
Long non-coding RNA from Dreissena polymorpha, 1330 nucleotides. RefSeq lists it as uncharacterized. The record is from RefSeq and is a predicted model, not a curated record. The transcript has 3 exons. NCBI's taxonomy places the organism in Eukaryota, Metazoa, Mollusca, Bivalvia, Myida, Dreissenidae.